Molecule: ribosomal RNA, 460 nt
Filed under: uncultured bacterium
Lineage: Bacteria
Description: bacterial SSU rRNA
Rfam family: Bacterial small subunit ribosomal RNA
Source: RNAcentral
ACGAACGCUGGCGGCGUGCUUAACACAUGCAAGUCGAACGGAAAGGCCCUUCGGGGUACUCGAGUGGCGAACGGGUGAGUAACACGUGGGGGAUCUGCCCUGCACUUUGGGAUAAGCCUGGGAAACUGGGUCUAAUACCGAAUAUGACCAUGCACUUCCUGGUGUGUGGUGGAAAGCUUUUGCGGUGUGGGAUGGGCCCGCGGCCUAUCAGCUUGUUGGUGGGGUAAUGGCCUACCAAGGCGACGACGGGUAGCCGGCCUGAGAGGGUGACCGGCCACACUGGGACUGAGAUACGGCCCAGACUCCUACGGGAGGCAGCAGUGGGGAAUAUUGCACAAUGGGCGCAAGCCUGAUGCAGCGACGCCGCGUGAGGGAUGACGGCCUUCGGGUUGUAAACCUCUUUCAGCACAGACGAAGCGCAAGUGACGGUAUGUGCAGAAGAAGGACCGGCCAACUACGU